Molecule: long non-coding RNA, 3583 nt
Organism: Triticum aestivum (bread wheat)
Lineage: Eukaryota; Viridiplantae; Streptophyta; Magnoliopsida; Poales; Poaceae
Exons: 5
Source: RefSeq, a predicted model, not a curated record
CACAACGUCGCCGAUCCUCUCGAUCCACCCCUCCCGAUGCGACCUCUCUCCUUCCCUCUCCUCGUGCUCCGGCGCCGCCCCCAUCUCCCGCUUCGGUGCCGCCCCUACUACUUCGUCGGCCCGACGCAGCCGGAUCUCAUAGCCCGAUCUCAUGCGAUCUCACAGCCACCGUCGGCGAUCUCACAGCCGGAUCUCGUGCGAUUUCGCGCCGCCGACAUACGGAGUCACCUCCAUGGUACGGGAUCACCGCUGCCGAUGUAAGAGGUCACGUCGCUGCCACCACUGAAUAACCCGCGCUGCUCACUGCUCUGCUCGUGUCACGCCUCCUCGGUCAUGUUUGCCGCCAUGGCCACCAGUCCCCACCUCGAUUUGUCAUCUCCUUGACCAGCCACCCAUGUCCUAGCCAUGUUGUUGCUGCUGAUCUCCCCUCCUCAACCCGUAGGUGCACACCACCCCUUCCCCUCCCUCCCUUCCUCCCGCUAGCGAACUCCCUCAAGAUGUGGGCGCUGCAUGUGGACAAUAUGGAGGCUCAUUCUGGAUUCAUGCUGCCGCUGGUGUCAAACGACAAGAUGGGUAGUGAGACAGUCGUCGUGACUUCAGGUAUGUUUGAUUGAGUGUGUCUUUUUUUUCCUUGUGCACCGCUUCAAUUGCUUUAACUAAUUCGUCAGUGGAGAAGAAGGUGCCCUGGAUUGAGAAGGUUGGUGAGCACGCUAAGAGGCAUGUAUACAAGAUAUUAGACUCUGGUGUCGUGAUGCUGUAUACAAGAUAUUGAUUGGCAUCAAAUAGUUUCAGCUCGGCAGGGUAAUGGAGAAGCUUCAUUCUGAUGGUCUAGAAGUUUUUGUUUGGUGUUUCCCUCGGCAGGGUAAUGGAGGAAGAUGAGACUUACCCCAGUUUUCAGUGCAUGGUUGGAGAAGAGGAUAAGAGGAGAGGCUUGAAUCUUGAGGUGACAAGGGUAGUCAUCUGGUGCAACUAAAGGUUCAGGUUCAUACUUGUGAUGAUAUUCGUCAGUUUGCCUGGAUGAUUGCCUUGUACUAAUCUUUUCAGAAGGAAGGAGGUAAAUGGAGCAAAAGGCACGAGGAGAAAGGAGUAACGCCAUAGGGACGAUGUUGUCGGCAACGCCUUUGAAAGGAUUCUCCAAGGAGAAGCUACGGUGGCUGACCAUCUUGCUCGGGAAGUGGGAAGGAUGUCAUUCGGGAAGCCCCUAGGUUCUAGGGGUGUGCGUCCAUGCGGUGGACGAGGAUGGCCAUGCGGUGGCCGAGGUGGCCACAAGGAGUUGGAUUGGGCACUUGCCAAUGCGAGCAUGUCGUUGCUCAAGGUACCAAGACCCUGGUUUUGACACAAAGUUUCUUGGCAAGCUGUGCAUGGUUGGGACUGUUUCGUGCAUGCGGGCAAUGGCUCAUGCCAUUCAGUAGCCAUCCAUGUCGCCGUCGCUUGCUGUUAGUUUUUCUUGGAUUCCAAAUUACUUUAUGUGGUGUUCCUCAAUGCAUGAAUUAUUUUCAAUAUGGACGUGAGUCUGAAAAAUGUGGUAAGGCUAUCACCAUUUUUUUUAACUGCAGAUGCCUGAAGCUGAGAAGCAUGAUAUUUUAUUUUCCAUGUUGCUCUAUCUCUGUAUUGUUAGAUCGCAAGAACUUUUAUCACAUAUGUUUGUGUGCAGUAUGCCAAUUUAUCCGUGAUGGCAACCUAACAUUUGGAGGUAACGACGGCCUCACCAGAAUAAGGGGAAAAUUGUGGGAGUGGACGCACAUCAUGUAGGUGAAACAUGAGAAUUUGUGGUCGUAGCAGCUGCGUUCUUCUUACAGUUUUCCUUCUCUGAAUUGCAUCUUUGGUACAUCUAAAUUUAUUAUUUAAUAUCAUGGAGAGGGAGUUGUCGUCGGUAUUUUCAUCAGUUAUGCAAUUGAUUCUGUACAGAGGAGAAUUAUGCACUCUUUUCUCAUUGUUUUAUAAUAUAUCCUCCAUUUGAUGUCUUAUCUAACCUGCCCAUGCCUCAGCGAUGACACACUUGAGGAGUCUGAACUCCGAAGGAAGGUGACGACGAGUUGAACCCAUGCAAUUAUGAGACACCCGAUGAUGUGUCAAAACCUGUCCUGCAAAAUAAAGGAGCGUUGAGGAUGACGACUUUCAUGUUCACUUGGAUGAUGCUGGUUCCGUGGUGGCCUUUGAUAUGUCAGGUAAGAUCUUGGGGUAUCAUAUUCGCUGAUUCUCCAUUAGAUUUCUCUGUUCAUUGCAGGGUGUGCCCUGUUGUGUUGGGCUUGGUGUGAUGCGGGUUGCCUGUGCGGAUACGCUGUGUCCGUGGGCCAUCCGUGUGGUAUUUGUGUUAAUCAAUGCAAGAGGAAAGUAACUUGAUAGGAUGAAAUAAAAAUGAUUCCGACAAGAUUUGAUCAUGGUGCAGUAUUCUUAGGCUAACUUACCCUUUUCUUGUAGAAACUACUCCCUCCGUUCCUAAAUAUAAGUCUUUUUAGAGAUUCCAAUAAGGGACUACAUGCGGACCAAAAUGAGUGAAUCUACACUCUAAAACAUGUCUAUAUACAUCUGUAUGUAGCAUGUGUUGAAAUAUCUAAAAAGAGUUAUAUUUAGAAACAGAGGGAGUAGAAUGAUAUGUCCAGAGAAUAAAUUGGUACAUAGUUUCAGUACAUGUGCAUUUCAUUACAGUUAUGAGUAGGUUUCUAGCAUGCUUUUAUUCCAGGUCUUUGCUAAGUGGUGUUAUAAGUAGGUUUCUAGCAUGCUUUUAUUUGAGGUCUUUGCUAAGUGGUGUGUGUGGCUGAAUUAGAUGGAAAUUCUUCCAUCGGUUAUUAGGUCCAGUUCUCUUGAGAAAAAUUGAUGUAGUUUCUGCAUUAAUUAGCCUGGUCGGUAUCAUUUGUUGAACCAUCAAACUAUAUAGCCACAUGCUAUCUUGUAGAAGGAAUCAGUAAUCUACCAAAAGUAGAGCCAUGAUAACUUCAUUCAGUCAAGACUGUAUUACAAGAAUUUCCAACCGAUAAUAAGAUACUGGUUUUCAGUAAUGCUUUUAUAAUGAGGGACAUUCUCAGAACUAUACAUUUUUAUUAUUAAAUAUUAUAUCAAUUUUUAUUACUCAGUGUGCAACUCCUUAAAGCUACGAUGUUUGAAAAAUAAAUUGGAUAGUAUUAUGAGGUAUAUGUUUGACACAACUGAUGUUGAACCACUGAAAAUUCAUGGCCCCGUUGGAAUGCAUGGGCACCUAAUUAUAGAUUAUUUGCGGCUAAUACUUGUUCUCACCUUCUGAUUUUUUAUUCACACGAUGUUUCAAGAGACCACGUGCAGCUCCAUAGAUGACAGCAAGCUCGCCAUGACUGGGGGUGGAGCUGAAGAUGUACCACGGCUUUUCGUCACUACCCUCGAAAGCUGCAAGGUUAACCAUAACCAUACCGUGUAACGUGUACUGAGUUGUAUGAGAACUAAUUACAGAACAAGUAUAUUUUUCAAGGAAUUUGAAAAAAAAAUCAUCAUAUUUUUCCAUCGAUUCUGAGGCAGUUUUGAAAUAGGAAGCUCGGUAUGGGUUAUGGCGUGUCUUUUUAGAAUCACUUCAAUUAGUUUUGAAAUUGGAAGCUUGGCCUGUCUAUUCGUC